RNAcentral lists this ribosomal RNA (465 nucleotides) under uncultured bacterium. RNAcentral describes it as "partial 16S ribosomal RNA". It matches the Rfam family "Bacterial small subunit ribosomal RNA", at positions 338 to 795 of the family's 1533-position model. The record is from RNAcentral.
CCUACGGGGGGCAGCAGUAGGGAAUCUUCCACAAUGGGCGAAAGCCUGAUGGAGCAACGCCGCGUGGGUGAAGAAGGUCUUCGGAUCGUAAAACCCUGUUGUUAGAGAAGAAAGUGCGUGAGAGUAACUGUUCACGUUUCGACGGUAUCCAACCAGAAAGCCACGGCUAACUACGUGCCAGCAGCCGCGGUAAUACGUAGGUUGCAAGCGUUAUCCGGAUUGAUUGGGCGUAAAGGGUACGCAGGCGGUCUUUUAAGUCUGAUGUGAAAGCCUUCGGCUUAACCGGAGAAGUGCAUUGGAAACUGGGAGACUUGAGAGCAGAAGAGGAGAGUGGAACUCCAUGUGUAGCGGGGAAAUGCGUAGAUAUAUGGAAGAACACCAGUGGCGAAGGCGGCUGUCUGGUCUGUAACUGACGCUGAGGUUCGAAAGCGUGGGUAGCAAACAGGAUUAGAUACCCGGGUAGUC